RNAcentral lists this ribosomal RNA (424 nucleotides) under Verrucomicrobiota bacterium. RNAcentral describes it as "Verrucomicrobia bacterium partial 16S ribosomal RNA". It matches the Rfam family "Bacterial small subunit ribosomal RNA", at positions 355 to 776 of the family's 1533-position model. The record is from RNAcentral. Lineage: Bacteria; Pseudomonadati; Verrucomicrobiota.
UGAGGAAUAUUGGUCAAUGGGCGAGAGCCUGAACCAGCCAAGUAGCGUGCAGGAUGACGGCCCUAUGGGUUGUAAACUGCUUUUAUAUGGGAAUAAAGUGAGGGACGUUUCCCUUAUUGCAUGUACCAUAUGAAUAAGGACCGGCUAAUUCCGUGCCAGCAGCCGCGGUAAUACGGAAGGUCCAGGCGUUAUCCGGAUUUAUUGGGUUUAAAGGGAGCGUAGGCUGUUUGUUAAGCGUGUUGUGAAAUGUAAGAGCUCAACUUUUAGAUUGCAGCGCGAACUGGCAGACUUGAGUGCGCACAACGUAGGCGGAAUUCAUGGUGUAGCGGUGAAAUGCUUAGAUAUCAUGAAGAACUCCGAUUGCGAAGGCAGCUUACGGGAGCGCAACUGACGCUGAAGCUCGAAGGUGCGGGUAUCGAACAGG